UCGAGAAUCAUUCGCAAUGGGCGCAAGCCUGACGAUGCGACGCCGCGUGCAGGAUGAAGGUCUUCGGAUUGUAAACUGCUGUGAUGGGGGAGCAAUGCGGGACGUGUUAACACCACGUACCGUUGAUAGUACCCCAAGAGGAAGCCACGGCUAACUCUGUGCCAGCAGCCGCGGUAAUACAGAGGUGGCAAGCGUUGUUCGGAUUUACUGGGCGUAAAGGGUGCGUAGGCGGUCUUGUGUGUCGGAUGUGAAAUCCCACGGAUCAUCCGUGGAACUGCAUUCGAAACUGCAGGGCUGGAGUGCAGGAGAGGAAGGCGGAAUUCUCGGUGUAGCGGUGAAAUGCGUUGAUAUCGAGAGGAACGCCGGUGACGAAGGUGGCCUUCUGGACUGCAACUGACGCUGAGGCACGAAAGCUAGGGGAGCAAACA
RNAcentral lists this ribosomal RNA (428 nucleotides) under uncultured bacterium. RNAcentral describes it as "bacterial SSU rRNA". It matches the Rfam family "Bacterial small subunit ribosomal RNA", at positions 355 to 774 of the family's 1533-position model. The record is from RNAcentral.